GACAGAGGCCUCGAGCGUUAGGCGGAAUCACUGGGCUUAAAGCGUGUGUAGGCGGAUCGUUAAGUGCCUUGUGAAAUCCCACGGCUUAACUGUGGAACGGCUCGGCAUACUGGCGGUCUUGAGCCAUCUAGGGGCGACUGGAACAAACGGUGGAGCGGUGAAAUGCGUAGAUAUCAGGAGGAACACCGGUGGCGAAGGCGGCCUGCUGGGCUGUUGCUGACGCUGAGGCGCGACAGCGUGGGGAGCAAACAGG
Molecule: ribosomal RNA, 253 nt
Filed under: uncultured bacterium
Lineage: Bacteria
Description: partial 16S ribosomal RNA
Rfam family: Bacterial small subunit ribosomal RNA
Source: RNAcentral